GAUGAACGCUGGCGGCGUGCCUAAUACAUGCAAGUCGAGCGAACAGACGAGGAGCUUGCUCCUCUGACGUUAGCGGCGGACGGGUGAGUAACACGUGGAUAACCUACCUAUAAGACUGGGAUAACUUCGGGAAACCGGAGCUAAUACCGGAUAAUAUAUUGAACCGCAUGGUUCAAUAGUGAAAGACGGUUUUGCUGUCACUUAUAGAUGGAUCCGCGCCGCAUUAGCUAGUUGGUAAGGUAACAGCUUACCAAGGCAACGAUGCGUAGCCGACCUGAGAGGGUGAUCGGCCACACUGGAACUGAGACACGGUCCAGACUCCUACGGGAGGCAGCAGUAGGGAAUCUUCCGCAAUGGGCGAAAGCCUGACGGAGCACCGCCGCGUGAGUGAUGAAGGUCUUCGGAUCGUAAAACUCUGUUAUUAGGGAGGAACAAAUGUGUAAGUAACUAUGCACGUCUUGACGGUACCUAAUCAGAAAGCCACGGCUAACUACGUG
RNAcentral lists this ribosomal RNA (497 nucleotides) under uncultured bacterium. Its description in RNAcentral is "partial 16S ribosomal RNA". It matches the Rfam family "Bacterial small subunit ribosomal RNA", at positions 28 to 507 of the family's 1533-position model. The record is from RNAcentral.